Molecule: long non-coding RNA, 1396 nt
Organism: Callithrix jacchus (white-tufted-ear marmoset)
Lineage: Eukaryota; Metazoa; Chordata; Mammalia; Primates; Cebidae
Source: Ensembl
CUCAGGAAGGAGAACUGAGAGCCUUUUUCUAAGUGGUGCCUGCUUUGUUUAAGGGAAGUGGAGCCAUGCUGGGGCCCAACCAGGAGCCGGCCAGGCAGACCCAGGCAGGAGAGAACACAUGGAGUUUACUGUCCAUGAAUGUUCCAAGCUCCACCACUGGAAGUGACUCUCCACAGAGUUCAGUAAGAGAGAGAGAGACACCAUAGAAAUCUGAAGAUGGCUUUGCCCUUCGACUCUGCAAUCUGCUCGCUACUCUCAGAACUGUGCUCUUCUUGUCUGGAGAUCCCCCACCCCCAUCACAGGCAGGAGGAGGACACUUUGAAGCUCCCACUGGAGCCGGAUACAGCACUUGGUUGUUGUGGAAAACAGUCUCUUUCAGCAUACCUUGAACAUCACAAAGAGACAGCCCUCCGCCUGCCUCCUCUGGCCUCCCCUCUCCUCCUCUUCUGUAAUACCCUCUUCGUCCUUCUUCAACACCUUCAACUCUUCCCAGGUAUAUAUUAACUAGAAGAUAAAAUCCAACUUCUUCAACAUGAUGUUCCAGUCUCCUGGCAGUCUUCCAACUGGAUCAAGGACUCAUUCACUUUUGUCUCCUGAUGUCUGUCUUCCCUACCAGGCUUCAGGUAACAUUUAAGUAACUAGGCUUGUAAUUGCUUAUAAAAUAUAUUCAGGCCAAGCACAGUGUCUCAUGCUUGUAAUCCUAGCACACUGGGAGGCCAAGGUGGGCAGAUUACUUGAGAUCAGGAGUUCAAGACCAGCCUGGCCAACAUAGAAACCCUGAAAAAUACAAAAUUAGCCCAGCAUGGUGGCGCCUGCCUGUAGUCCCAGCUACUUGGGAGGCUCAGGCAGGAGAAUCACUCUAACCUGAGAGGCGGAGGCUGCAGUGAGCUGAGAUUACACCACCGCACUCCAGCCUGGGCAACAGAGCAAGAGACUCCAUCUCAAAAAAAAAAAAAAAAGUUUGUUACAAAAUCAUCUUCCCUACUAAAGAGGUCUUAUGCAAAUAUGGGAUUUUACUGUAAGAGGUAAUUUCAUAAAGUAAUGAAUAAGUCAAAUUUAAAUACAAAUGACACACGAAUGAUAAGUCAUUUUUGGCUAUUCCUUAGUUCAGAAGGCUUCCCACCCUAUCCCCUUCUGGUUACAUAGUGCAUUUCCAAGUCUCCUGCAGAUGCUUAUGGGCAAAACUUCACCUUAUGUACUUUUGUAGCGGCCGUUCCUGUCUGGGGCCACUGUUAGCCUUCGUACAGGUGAGAAAAAGGUGAUCCCCUUUGGAGGGAGACAGCCCCUUGGGUGGGUGUGGCUAGCUGAGCAUGGACCGCAGCCCAGUUCCCAGUCAGUGUUGGCUGGGAGCCCUUGAGAAAGGGACGCGGACACAACCCCAUGCGGUGGCCUUGCU